UACGUAGGUGGCUAGCGUUGUCCGGAUUUACUGGGCGUAAAGAGCGCGCAGGCGGUCGUUCAAGUCGAGUGUGAAAGCCCCCGGCUCAACUGGGGAGGGUCACUCGAUACUGGUCGACUCGAAGGCAGGAGAGGGAAGCGGAAUUCCCGGUGUAGUGGUGAAAUGCGUAGAUAUCGGGAGGAACACCAGUGGCGAAGGCGGCUUUCUGGCUCACAACUGACGCUGUAGCGCGAAAGCGUGGGGAGCGAACGGG
RNAcentral lists this ribosomal RNA (253 nucleotides) under uncultured bacterium. RNAcentral describes it as "partial 16S ribosomal RNA". It matches the Rfam family "Bacterial small subunit ribosomal RNA", at positions 524 to 776 of the family's 1533-position model. The record is from RNAcentral.